AGGACGAACGCUGGCGGCGUGCUUAACACAUGCAAGUCGAGCGGUAAGGCCUUUCGGGGUACACGAGCGGCGAACGGGUGAGUAACACGUGGGUGAUCUGCCCUGCACUUCGGGAUAAGCCUGGGAAACUGGGUCUAAUACCGGAUAUGACCUCCUAUCGCAUGGUGGGUGGUGGAAAGAUUUAUCGGUGCAGGAUGGGCCCGCGGCCUAUCAGCUUGGUUGGUGGGUAAUGGACCUACCAAGGCGACGACGGGUAGCCGACCUGAGAGGGUGACCGGCCACGACGUCGGGACUGAGACGACGGCCCAGAC
Molecule: ribosomal RNA, 311 nt
Filed under: uncultured soil bacterium
Lineage: Bacteria
Description: bacterial SSU rRNA
Rfam family: Bacterial small subunit ribosomal RNA
Source: RNAcentral